UAGAAGAAACCUGGAAGGGAAGGGAUCAGGUGUAAGUAAAGCUCCUGACAAGGAGUGUCUUGCAGGCUUCUGCUCCUUCAGUUCCUCACACAGCAUUGGGAUAGUUUUAUUUUACACUUUCCAUUUAACCUUCAGAUCAUCAAAACCCAUCUUUGCCACCUGCACUGAGUGGGGAUAAUUCCACACUGUACAAACAGCCCCACUGAUGUUUGUGUUUGCUUGCUGGGGGGGAUUUGAACCCAUUACUUUAAAGCACAGUGAUGGGAUUUGUGCUUUUCGGUUUUAUUUUAUUUUCCCAGAUGUGAUGUAAACUCUCUGUGGACUCUUCCUUGUGCUUUGCCCAAGUGCUGUGGUCCUGCUUAUUUCAGUGUUCAGUGAUCUCAGCUCUCCUGUUCUGAAGGCAAAUGGACAUGGUGCUGUACAGGUCUUUUCGUUCCUUCUUGCUGCACACUGGCAUACCAAGUGAAUAAGCUGUUCACCUGAGCUCCCAGCUGGAACCCAGUUUGGCCCAGAGCCUGAACCAGCCAACACUGUGGGCAAGAGCCAGGCACAGGCAAGAGGCCAGUUAAGCCAGGACACUCUAAAUCCAUCUGAUGCCACUGAGCUCUUGUUUGUAUUGGCUGAAGAACCAAAGUGCCCAGAUAAGGGGGCCUGGCAGCCCAGCCCAGACCUUCUGCACUCUUUAGAACUCAGGUUUUAAAGGUGCUGAACACGUGGUGGACAGUAUUGGGGGUUGGAACU
Molecule: long non-coding RNA, 741 nt
Organism: Pipra filicauda (Wire-tailed manakin)
Lineage: Eukaryota; Metazoa; Chordata; Aves; Passeriformes; Pipridae
Exons: 3
Source: RefSeq, a predicted model, not a curated record